AUACGGAGGAUCCGAGCGUUAUCCGGAUUUAUUGGGUUUAAAGGGUGCGCAGGCGGUCAUUUAAGUCAGCGGUUAAAUCGUGGGGCUCAACCCCAUUCUGCCGUUGAUACUGGGUGGCUUGAUUGCGGUCGAGGUUGGCGGAAUUCGUUGUGUAGCGGUGAAAUGCUUAGAUAUCACGAAGAACUCCGAUUGCGAAGGCAGCCUGCUGGACUGUAACUGACGCUGAUGCUCGAAAGUGUGGGUAUCAAACAGGAUUAGAUACCCUGGUAGUCCACACAGUAAACGAUGAAUACUCGCUGUUUGCGAUAUACAGUAAGCGGCCAAGCGAAAGCGUUAAGUAUUCCACCUGGGGAGUACGCCGGCAACGGUGAAACUCAAAGGAAUUGACGGGG
RNAcentral lists this ribosomal RNA (392 nucleotides) under uncultured bacterium. RNAcentral's name for it is "partial 16S ribosomal RNA". It matches the Rfam family "Bacterial small subunit ribosomal RNA", at positions 523 to 918 of the family's 1533-position model. The record is from RNAcentral.